Long non-coding RNA from Tachysurus fulvidraco (yellow catfish), 7119 nucleotides. RefSeq lists it as uncharacterized. The transcript has 7 exons. NCBI's taxonomy places the organism in Eukaryota, Metazoa, Chordata, Actinopteri, Siluriformes, Bagridae. The record is from RefSeq and is a predicted model, not a curated record.
CUAGUAUGUUCUGGAUAUUGCUGUCAACUGUAUUCAGUUAUUACACUCUACUUGUAAAUGCUGUCGGGCUGGUAUUGGAUGCUGCAUUUAAUUUUAUGUAUGUGGCGUGCAUGCUGCUGUUUCCCAUACUGGUCGAGAUUGGUGAACACUGAGAUUUGUGCAGCACACUGCAUUCUAUUUUGUGUGCAUUUUAGAUAUUGUUGACAGUUAAUACUGACGGUGAACACUGAAAAUACCUAUAGGCUGCAGUGUUUUGUGCUAAACGCGAGGCUGCAGCAACUUUCCGUUGGGUCUGGUAUGCAGUACAAGAAACUGUAAAAUGGUAUGUUUAAUUGAUUUGUGUAAUAUGGAGAUUUUAAUGAUAAUAAAUUACUGUUUUUAGAUGGGUUUAAGAUGUAUUGUGAAGCGUUGUUUUAUCUAGAGAUUGCAUAAUACGUUUAUUUGGAAUUAUGUAAUGGUGCUGUGUAACAUGGGUUGGUGUUUUAUUUGAGAAUGUAAUUUUAUAUAUUGUCUUCUUUUUUUGUAGAGUGCUAUGUGGUCCUGUUGAUCACUGUUUUCCCUACCUUUAUUUUUUUGUAUAGUUUGUUUAUUGGCUUGGAAGCUGAUUAUUGUUAUUUUUGUUUGUUUCAUUUAUUUUCUAUCGGCCCAUAGUUACCUUGCCUCCUUACUGAUUUAGAGCGCUCUUAACAAAAGUAGGACAAAUACUACAUCAGGUUGUGUACUGUUUAUGACAAUCGGAGGGGGGGUUACUCACUAUUAAUUGUACAAGUGUGGUGUGUUGUGUGGGCUUUGUUUUGUACUUUGGUUUAUCGGAUUUGUUUCUUUUUUCUUUCUUUUUCUUUUGAAUUGUAUCGUGAAGUGGCUAACCCCUCGGUAGAAGUAACCUUUGUGCACGUAUGCUGGUUUAAGUCCUCAGUAUGAUUUAAAUUAAGAGAGCGAGAAAAACCAGUAAAUAAAUGUAUUGACUUAAUGCAGUAUUGGUCUGAGUAAUUUCAUUUAUUUGAAUAACUGUGUGGGAAGCCCUUUGUGGGAUCUCCUACCCGUGUAAAUUGGAGUGGCGUAGUCACUGACAAUUAGUUACCUAUUUGACUCUGUCACAGCUGUGAGACAUUUACGUCUCUCACACUCCUAUAUUGUCUUGGCAUCAUCUAUAAGGUGCAAAAAUGCAGUUUUGUUAUGACCUUUGAUUGGAACAACCUGUAACAAUUUGUUCACAAACUACAACCUGGGCCAGGAGCUUCUAAAGAGAAAGUCCAUGUUUGUCUUCACAUACUGUUCAGAACAGCCAGUAACAACAAUAAUGUCUUACUGCCCCAACAAGGGAAAAACUUUAUUCUCAUGAGCACUUUGCACAAAAAUGCUGAAAGCAGAACAUGCGAGAACCAGAAACCGAGGUUUGUUGGACGAAGAUGUUUCCUACUGUAAGUGCCAUGUGUCAAAGCGGUACAAGAGGCACAUCUUCUCUAAGGAGCUGGGGAAGAAACGUGAUACUACAUGGAACAUGUACCAAGGACCAGCUGCUGUACAGUGAGGGAUCCAGGACAGGAUGACACGUUGUGCACCAGCACGCCAGGUUGUUACUGGGGGAAAAGAAAGAGGAAGAAGCAGCCAUCUGAUGGCAAGACUAACAUGUGAACCACAUCACAGCGUGGUCUGUACAAAUGACCAUUCGCAGGGACCACACUGUGAUACCAUGUCCUUCAUAUACUGCAGACCUGCCAACCUUGGAAAAAAAUUUGAGUAGCAACUUACUGCAUCGACACGGCGCAAGGUCAGGCACAUUUGCUGGUCAGUGUUGAUUAAGUUCACAAGCUCAUUCAUCACAAAUUUUUACUAUAUUUUUCCUAUAUAAAUACUGCCAAAUAAAGUAAAAUUUGACCUGUGCGUAAAAUUUAAACUUUAGGCACAACACCGGUCAAGAACUUCUGAGGGGCUUCCCUCUCCCUCUCUGUCCGUAUCCUCAUCUGACAUCAUGUGUAUUACUAACUGCAAGGCACACACUCAAAACACACACAUCAUCAUUCUCAUGUUUUUCUUAAUGUUUCCACGCGCAUUUGCAUGAAAACACUUUGUACAUAUUAAUAAUGUUUUAAGGCACAAAUGGCAUGUAAGAAGAUUUGCAUCUUACAGUAAUGUACAAAAUGUACAAUAACAAUACUUGGCUGCUACUAAAAUAAAGAGUAUAACGUUAUGUGCAUGAUCGAUUGUGUAAUAUCUGCAUACUAUUUUAACAACUCUUUAUGUAUUGCCAUAAAUUAGAUCUAAUGAACUAAACAGUAACUUCAUAUCUGACAACACAUACAUGAGUUCAUUUUCUCAGCAAUAAAGCAAGACUCUAGACUUCACUAUGGUUUUGACUGGCUGAUCAUAUAAUAAUACCUCCCUCAUCAUUUCUACAGGAGCCGGUAACAAUCGAGUCAGAAUACGAUUGAUAUUUACUGACUACGUGCUAUAAAAGGGACACGGAUGCUCGCGGAAAUUGAUGUCUGAGUGCUCGUGCCAGUUUGUCUUUCCCGUUAAAGUACGAUGGCAAUGCGUUUACAGGCAUGACUUACGUUUCCUAUAUAAAUACUGGCAAAUAAAUUAAAACUUGAUCUGUGCGUAAAACUUAAACUUGAGGCACAACACCGGACACUUGGGCACAUGCCCCCAGUAAAGGAGUCUAAUGACGCCUGUGGUUCAGCAGGCUUAUUAAAAUGGAUGAAAUUCACAAUUCUGGCCAUUUACCUUUGAAACGUUAACUUAUAAAAAACGGUCACUGUAAGAAGAAUUGAAGACGGACAGAGACGGAUGAAAACCACCUCCGUUUUGACGGCUCUCCGCUUGUAGCGUUGAAGAGUUUUAAACUGGCGCUAUGAUUGGUCUAAUUAUUAUUUUCCCAGGUUGCUGCCCAAUGCGGUCACACCCAUAGGCGCGUUGCCCGGUGCGUAAAUGCACAGACAGUUGAACUCAAAGCCAUCAAUGGUUUUUUACAAUGCGUAUUUUGAAGUGACAAAUUGUAGCAGCGUACUUUGAUGUCUAAAUGCGUAUCUGCUACACAAAAUGCGUAAAGGUUGGCAGGUCUGUAUACUGUGUAGAUGCCCACAUAUGCACCUUUUCAUUUCUACCUAUAAAUGUUUGUAUUUCUGUACAUUGUGUCAUGUGCAUAGUGUGUAUGGUGACAAUGUAAAGACACAUCAUAUGUACAUACAUACAUGUGUUCAUAUUGUCAGUAUUAUAUUGUGGUUGGCCGUUGUGUUCAUUUUUGGUUUAAAAUCAAUGCUCAAAUAAGUUACUUUCAUUUGUGUUGAUUUUAAGUCACCGGGUCAAUUUGACAGACUCAUUUCCCAGCACUGUGACUUUCUACAUGUAUUGUAGAAAGAUGUGGCUCAGCGCAAUGAAUAGUUCCCAUCACUAUAUUGUAGAUGUUACGAUCAUUACAUCUACUUGUUAAUGGCCUGGCAUUGAUACAAUAGACAAGCCAGGCAUUUGUCUGUGACUUAAUGUCCCCUUGGAAUUUGUGUAUUGGCUCACAGUGGCUGCACGAUGUGUCUCUGUGCCCUGUGAAAGCUGGAAUGCUGAAUGAAUUCUUCAAGAAUUGCUGAUAAUCUAGAGCGUUUCUGAAAGUAGAUGAAACAGUAAGAAUAGCUGGAAGUGUCUGAUACAUUAAAACUACUGUAUAGCUGAAAACACCUGAGAUGAAAUACAAGUAGAAAUAGUUGAAUUUCAAAAUAACGAGUAAUUAAAUAAGUAUUGAAAAUGCAGUCAUCAAGUAAAUGGUAGGUGACUUAAUUCUAACAAUAGAAAUGUAAAAAAGCCCUAAGAUCGAAGACCAUAAAAGAUAUUACAAAACCGAGCAGAGGGUUUAUAGUGUACUGUUAUGACUACAAAAAGUAAAGUAUCUUUUUAUAUUUUGGCCCACCGUGAAUUUGAGUUUGACACCCCUGAUGUAAUUUGAUAUUGAUUUAAGAAUUAUCUUAGUUCUGUUUGUGACCGCAUUCAGUCUUGUGUGAAUUAACUAUUUUAAAAAGAGUAACUUCAGACUAAUAUCUGUAACUUUUUCAUUUUAUCCUGUAGUGUCGACAUGAUUUUUAAACAUUAGCUGUGUAUGUUUUUCUAAUACCAGCUCAUCAUCGACCCACAUUUGACUUUGUUAAAAAGGUAAAGUUAUUGUAUUGUAUACUCUUACGCUUUUCAUGGCCAAAAUCAUGCAGAAGAAAGGGUUUAAAGUUGUUGCAUAGUGUUCAUAAAAUUCAUGCCAGAAUUCUGAUAGGCAACUCACCAAACUCCACCAAUGUCAUGACGCAUCUCGUAUUGCAUAUUUGGGAGAAGCAGCUUGAAUUCAGAGAAGUGUGCAAUAAGUUCAGAAAAUAUCUGUCCACCAUGAAUCACAAGAAUUAUUUUGUGUGGCAUUGAUGCUUCUGGACUCGGAGGCAAAAUGUCUUCUAAAUUUUGUAGAUCUAUGACCGUGAUUUCUCCAGAGAAUAUUAUCACUUCAUCACUUGCAUCUAGCAAGGCUGUUUAGGAACUGUGAAAAGAAACAUUCAGAUCUUCUCUAGAAUAUAGAGGAGGCACAUAAUCACUGCUUAAACCAGUACUUUCCACAAAAAUGACAUUCAAGCCUCCUGAAGACUGAAAUAAUAUAUUAUACUUCCUCCACUGUGUCCUGUUGUGAGUUUUGAUGCAUCAUACAUUUCCCCUACUGUACUGUUGUCAUCUAAUGACAUUUCCGGAUAAUUUAUUAGAUCCACUUCAAAUUCAGAAAUACUGCCUUGAGAAUUUUUUUCAUUUUGCCUCCUCAGUCAGUUCUUUUUUUUUUUUUCCAGUCUCUUGGCACAGUCAACUUGUUUCUUGCAACUCCUUUUUUUAUUCUCUUUUGUGAAGCAUCCACCCAAUCUCCACUUUUCUUGUCAGUAGAACAUUCCUUUUUUUUUGUUGUCUGCUGAUCAGUCUUGGAAUGAUUUCGUUUUUAGUCUUUUGUUUAAUUUCGACUUUAGGUGAUCAAACAGCUUGGACUUCAUGUAAGUGGGUUUGCUUUCUUGCCUCCUACAAUAUCCCAUCACUGGUAGCCUGUCACCAUAGGAAGGCAAACAGCUUUUCAUCUGGUCAUCAUUCAUUAGCAGAAGGAUGUCCGCAUCAAUCUACAAACAAAUACAUUUUUAGUAUUAGUCUAUACAUAUAUAUAUGAUCCAAUCUCCAAGCCAAUCACUUAAUUAAAAAUAAAAUAAAAUAGGUGAAUCUCACAGGAUGUCUUUGUAGCUCUUGUCUACACACCAAAAAGAUAAUUAAAUUAUUUGAGGUAGAAUCAGAAGAUACGCAAUUCACCCGCUUCGAAUGUUAUCACACUAUUGAAUGGAUGUUCAGUGGAUUGAAUGGAUGGAUCAGUGUUUAAUGGGAAGAUCGAUAUGGUCCAGUCGGGGCAUGUUGUGGCUACUGGAAGGCUCAGAAGGUUGUUAUCAUCUAUCAAAUGCUCAAUCAAUGAUACAACUACAAGAGAAGUCUCCAGAUCCACUCAGAGGAAUCCAGUUCACCGGGAAUCCAGUUUACCGAUGGCUGGACGUCGACUGGAUAAAACGGCAACGUUGGGCACUUUCCUGCUUAAUUGUUUCAGAUUCUUCAGGACUUCACUCUCCUCUUUGGGUCAGAAACUGCUUCCAGACUUUUGGAAAGGUGGCCAACUGCUUUCAAAGCAAAGGUUAUCAGACUAGCAUAAACCUUGACUCCUACUCCACUGCUGAAAAGAUUGUCAUCUGCCAAACAGAACAGAGAAGGCAGUGAGGCACAAGAUUCCCCAGAUUGGGACAAUGACGCAUCUUCAUUUCUUCUGCUUCUGCAUCUCUUCUCACCCCAGGCUUCAGGAAGAAAGAAAAUCCAUAAGAUCAGUGUUUGUCAGGCUGUUGACCAUCUGGUGGUAUUUCAUAAAACAUGCCGGAGUAUACAGGAACACCUUGAGACAGAAGAGAAUCGUCAACCAUACAUUCUUCAGGGUGCAGCAAGGAAGCAAUCAGUCAGUUCUUCAUCAUGGUUGAUAAAAAGAUCAUCCCCUGUCAAGCAUCCUCUUCACUAGCAUCAAUUGAUGUACUCUUCAAGGUCCAUUUUGUCUUCAGCAUAAGCUAUGAUCUUCCACUCAAAAAGCUAUACACUUUCGUCCAAACUACUGUCUACGGAAUUGAUGUUGGCACCACAAGUGAGAGCCCAAGGGUACAGGAGCUCAGAGCUAAAUUCUUGAAUGAUGUUUAGAUGCUACAUCUGUAAAUCACUGCUUGCUACUGUACAACAGUCAAAUUAAUUCGGCACCUUGAACUUGUACAUGGUUUGUACCUUGGGAAGAAAUUUGAGCUAGUUUGUGCUCAGGAUGGCUGUAACUUGCAAUUUAAAAGUUAUGCAGGGUUUAGAAAACAUUUAACUAGAUUUCAUUUUUGGGGGUGUAGCAUCAAGCAGUGCAAAUAUAUCACUACAACAUCAACAAGCUCCAACAAAUCCUGAUGAAGCAGUGUCACUUGUUGUGUCUGACACAGAGCAAAGAUCAGAUAAUGAUGCAAGUUUGCAAGAUUGUUCUUCUAUUUCAAGGGAUAGUUCCAGGGAAAUGUGUGCAUCGAUAAUAGCCAAAUUGCAGGUUAACGGUGUUGCAAACAAUUUAAUUAUGUCAGUUGUUGAAAGCAUGGAGGAUUUUGUUAAUGAUUUUCAUACAAUGAACUGUCGGACCUUGAACACUGUGAUUUUAUUUCACAGCAGCUCCACAUUGAUCCCUCUAGUGAGGUAACAGUCACACCAUGCAUAUACAUAAUAUAUAUAAGAUAUAUAAGACAUAUAUAAAUGUCGUGGUACUGAGUAUCGCUGUGGUCUUGUUGUUUGUUUAGACUCGGUUGAUGAUGCACCUGCCUUUGGAAAAAUUGUUAAGGAUGGAAUUUAUUUGUUGACCUCAUGUAUGUAAUCCGAUUUUGUUGAACAUCUUCAUGCUUUCAGUAUUGUCGCACAAGAGCACGGUCUUGUACUCAGAAAAGCCUGAAGAAUUGUUUUACUACAAGCCAUUUGAUUUACAAAUGUCCUAUGGUAAUGACAGUCUAUCUUACAUCAUUGUGGUUUGUUAUUUGUAAUAAAUGUGAUGGCUUGGUGUUCAUGUGCUGGAAUAAAUUUUUG